CAGUCGCCGCGGUAAUACGGAGGGAGCUAGCGUUGUUCGGAAUUACUGGGCGUAAAGCGCGCGUAGGCGGUUACUCAAGUCAGAGGUGAAAGCCCGGGGCUCAACCCCGGAACUGCCUUUGAAACUAGGUGACUAGAAUCUUGGAGAGGUCAGUGGAAUUCCGAGUGUAGGGGUGAAAUUCGUAGAUAUUCGGAAGAACACCAGUGGCGAAGGCGACUGACUGGACAAGUAUUGACGCUGAGGUGCGAAAGCGUGGGGAGCAAACAGGAUUAGAUACCCCUGUAGUCCCUGUCUCUUAUAC
This 301-nucleotide ribosomal RNA is filed under the name uncultured bacterium. RNAcentral describes it as "partial 16S ribosomal RNA". It matches the Rfam family "Bacterial small subunit ribosomal RNA", at positions 509 to 807 of the family's 1533-position model. The record is from RNAcentral.